This 461-nucleotide ribosomal RNA is filed under the name uncultured Alphaproteobacteria bacterium. Its description in RNAcentral is "bacterial SSU rRNA". It matches the Rfam family "Bacterial small subunit ribosomal RNA", at positions 9 to 524 of the family's 1533-position model. The record is from RNAcentral. RNAcentral also lists the same sequence under 1 other name. Lineage: Bacteria; Pseudomonadati; Pseudomonadota; Alphaproteobacteria.
GAGUUUGAUCUUGGCUCAGAACGAACGCUGGCGGCAGGCUUAACACAUGCAAGUCGAACGCCCCGCAAGGGGAGUGGCAGACGGGUGAGUAACGCGUGGGAAUCUACCUAGUUCUACGGAACAACUGAGGGAAACUUCAGCUAAUACCGUAUACGCCCUACGGGGAAGAUUUAUCGGAUUAGAUGAGCCCGCGUAAGAUUAGCUAGUUGGUGGGGUAAUGGCCUACCAAGGCGACGAUCUUUAGCUGGUCUGAGAGGAUGAUCAGCCACACUGGGACUGAGACACGGCCCAGACUCCUACGGGAGGCAGCAGUGGGGAAUAUUGGACAAUGGGCGCAAGCCUGAUCCAGCCAUGCCGCGUGAGUGAUGAAGGCCUUAGGGUUGUAAGCUCUUUCAGUGGGAAGAUAAUGACGGUACCCACAGAAGAAGCCCGGCUAACUUCGUGCCAGCCGCCGCGGUAAU